CCUACGGGAGACAGCAGUGAGGAAUAUUGGUCAAUGGACGAGAGUCUGAACCAGCCAAGUAGCGUGAAGGAUGACUGCCCUAUGGGUUGUAAACUUCUUUUAUAUGGGAAUAAAAUGUUCCACGUGUGGGAUUUUGUAUGUACCAUAUGAAUAAGGAUCGGCUAACUCCGUGCCAGCAGCCGCGGUAAUACGGAGGAUCCGAGCGUUAUCCGGAUUUAUUGGGUUUAAAGGGAGCGUAGGUGGAUUGUUAAGUCAGUUGUGAAAGUUUGCGGCUCAACCGUAAAAUUGCAGUUGAAACUGGCAGUCUUGAGUACAGGAGAGGUGGGCGGAAUGCGUGGUGUAGCGGUGAAAUGCUUAGAUAUCACGAAGAACUCCGAUUGCGAAGGCAGUUCACUGGACUGCAACUGACACUGAGGCUCGAAAGUGUGGGUAUCAAACAGGAUUAGAUACCCUAGUAGUC
Molecule: ribosomal RNA, 460 nt
Filed under: uncultured bacterium
Lineage: Bacteria
Description: partial 16S ribosomal RNA
Rfam family: Bacterial small subunit ribosomal RNA
Source: RNAcentral